This 497-nucleotide ribosomal RNA is filed under the name uncultured bacterium. Its description in RNAcentral is "partial 16S ribosomal RNA". It matches the Rfam family "Bacterial small subunit ribosomal RNA", at positions 28 to 507 of the family's 1533-position model. The record is from RNAcentral.
GACGAACGCUGGCGGCGUGCCUAAUACAUGCAAGUUGAGCGAUGAAGAUUGGUGCUUGCACCAAUUUGAAGAGCAGCGAACGGGUGAGUAACGCGUGGGGAAUCUGCCUUUGAGCGGGGGACAACAUUUGGAAACGAAUGCUAAUACCGCAUAACAACUUUAAACAUAAGUUUUAAGUUUGAAAGAUGCAAUUGCAUCACUCAAAGAUGAUCCCGCGUUGUAUUAGCUAGUUGGUGAGGUAAAGGCUCACCAAGGCGAUGAUACAUAGCCGACCUGAGAGGGUGAGCGGCCACAUUGGGACUGAGACAAGGCCCAAACUCCUACGGGAGGCAGCAGUAGGGAAUCUUCGGCAAUGGACGAAAGUCUGACCGAGCAACGCCGCGUGAGUGAAGAAGGUUUUCGGAUCGUAAAACUCUGUUGGUAGAGAAGAACGUUGGUGAGAGUGGAAAGCUCAUCAAGUGACGGUAACUACCCAGAAAGGGACGGCUAACUACGUG